CGGCGAGUGAAGCGGCAAAAGCUCAAAUUUGAAACCCUCGGGAUUGUAAUUUGAAGAUUUGGCAUUGGAGAAAGCUAACCCAAGUUGCUUGGAAUAGUACGUCAUAGAGGGUGACAACCCCGUCUGGCUAACCGUUCUCCAUGUAUUGCCUUAUCAAAGAGUCGAGUUGUUUGGGAAUGCAGCUCAAAGUGGGUGGUAAACUCCAUCUAAAGCUAAAUACUGGUGAGAGACCGAUAGCGAACAAGUACUGUGAAGGAAAGGUGAAAAGAACUUUGAAAAGAGAGUGAAAUAGUAUGUGAAAUUGUUGAUAGGGAAGGAAAUGAGUGGAGAGUGGCCGAGGUUUCAGCCGCCCCUCGUGGGCGGUGUACUGCCGACGCCGAGUCAUCGAUAGCGAGACGAGGGUUACAAAUGGGAGCGCCUUCGGGCGUUCUCCCCUAACCCUCCACACUGCCACCGACGACAUAAUCCACCCAUUUCACCCGUCUUGAAACACGGACC
Molecule: ribosomal RNA, 498 nt
Filed under: Yarrowia lipolytica
Lineage: Eukaryota; Fungi; Ascomycota; Dipodascomycetes; Dipodascales
Description: eukaryotic LSU rRNA
Rfam family: Eukaryotic large subunit ribosomal RNA
Source: RNAcentral